This 363-nucleotide ribosomal RNA is filed under the name uncultured bacterium. RNAcentral's name for it is "bacterial SSU rRNA". It matches the Rfam family "Bacterial small subunit ribosomal RNA", at positions 29 to 377 of the family's 1533-position model. The record is from RNAcentral.
AACGAACGUUGGCGGCGUGGAUUAGGCAUGCAAGUCGAACGAGAAAGGUUUCGCAAGAGACCAAGUAAAGUGGCGGAAGGGUGAGUAAUGCAUAGACAACUUACCCCUGAGAUGGGGAUAACUAUCCGAAAGGGUAUCUAAUACCCAAUGAGACCACGGAUCGCAUGAUCUGUGUUUAAAGAUAGGGACCCGCAAGGGCCUGUCACUCAGGGGAGAGGUUUAUGUCCUAUUAGCAGUUGGUGAGGUAAUGGCUCACCAAGGCGACGAUGGGUAGCCGACCUGAGAGGGUNACCGGCACACUGGGACUGAGACACUGCCCAGACUCCUAGGGAGGCUGCAGUCGAGAAUCUUCCGCAAUGCGCG